This 1356-nucleotide long non-coding RNA is filed under the name Gallus gallus (chicken). Its description in RNAcentral is "long non-coding RNA NONGGAT009368". The record is from RNAcentral. Lineage: Eukaryota; Metazoa; Chordata; Aves; Galliformes; Phasianidae.
ACUGGGAGCCAGAGAGAGAACAUUGAAUAAGGCAAAAAGUGUUGUAGUUUGUCUUCAUGUCAGCUGCAAGUGUGUGAAGUCGCUACAUUACACACAUUGGUUCUUACCCACAUGGAGGGCUCCUGACUCUUAAGAAAGCACUGGAAAUGCUUUUUCACAGUUCAAAUAAAUCUCUUUCAAAUAACUUUAAAAAAAAAAACAAUUUUAACAUAAAUUGUUGGGAAAAAAACAACAACAACAACAACAACAAAAAAACAAACAUGUCCAUGUAAAAAGGUAAGCAGCCACAAAAGUCAGGUCCAAUGCAGCAGCACCCAGCUGUGUUGGGAACAGCUCUGUUCCCCCCUUCCUUCUCUGCCAGGCAAAACACUUUCUUAAUUUAGUCCUGAAAUUGGGAAGACAACUCCAGGUAUGUUUUCUGUUCUAUGUCAAAACAGAUUUGAGUUGGAUCCAAACCAUACACUCCAGUAAACGAUGGAGAAAUUCACAGAUCUGAUUGCCACUGAAAUGGUUAUACGUGAUGCUGUGUUGAAACAGCAAGCUGAAGUUUGACUUGUCGUUUCAGGUUCACACCUGUGUUUCUUUGCCCUAAAAACAAAUGGAGGGCUCUGCUGAAGGUCUCUGCUAUUGUGAAGGUCUCCACUAUUGAAAUGACCAACCGCAGGAGCCCAGCCCCAUCAGCACCCGGAGCAGCUCCAUAUGGUACCUGCAGGACACAGAAUGGCACUGGGCCACCCGCGACGUGCCCGGCUCGUGCCACACAAAGCACUGCCAACCUGCUGCCACCAAGCUCCCUCCUGGCCAUAGCAGUGAGGGAGUGAGUGGAACACAGGGAGCCUGGUUUUGCUGCUGCUGUUACGGCGUCUGCUUCGUGUCCUGUUCUACAGAAUUUUGGGUAGGUCCUAGCUUUGCUUCCUCCAGAGCACGGUUUUUUGUCUUUUAACUAAUCAUAAAGGCUCCAAAAAAGCUCGCCUCCUUGUCCAUGUCAACGAUAUCACUGUUACUGACCGAGACAAAAAUUCUGUCCUCCCUUUUUAGCUGGAACACCCCGCCCUGGUAGAUGGAAUAAAGUCCAUACUCAGCCUUUUUGGACCAGCAGCUUGUUCUUGCGCUCUUCAUGAGCAGAAUGGGAUCUGGGUAAUUUGUCAGUUUGUAAAUGUACUGGACGAGCUGCUUGGGAUUCUUUAUUCGUUCCAACAAACCCGAGUCCUCGUCCUCAUUUUCGCGGAAGCGAAAGUAAGUCUGUGAGUAGAUGUAAUAGAAGCCUGUCUGGGGCACCACCAGCUCACCGUUCCACAGCUCCACGUUGUAGAGGAAGGAGUGGCCUCUCCUCGAUGACUCCCAGCUGUGGAUUUU